UGGGAUAUAGCUCAGUGGUAGAAUAUUUGUCUAGCAUGCAAGUUGUCCUGGGUUUAAUUCCCAGCAUCAUGG
RNAcentral lists this transfer RNA (72 nucleotides) under Ictidomys tridecemlineatus (thirteen-lined ground squirrel). RNAcentral describes it as "Spermophilus tridecemlineatus (thirteen-lined ground squirrel) tRNA". It matches the Rfam family "tRNA". Rfam says of the family: Transfer RNA (tRNA) molecules are approximately 80 nucleotides in length. Lineage: Eukaryota; Metazoa; Chordata; Mammalia; Rodentia; Sciuridae. The record is from Rfam by way of RNAcentral.